This 253-nucleotide ribosomal RNA is filed under the name uncultured bacterium. RNAcentral describes it as "partial 16S ribosomal RNA". It matches the Rfam family "Bacterial small subunit ribosomal RNA", at positions 524 to 776 of the family's 1533-position model. The record is from RNAcentral.
UACGGAGGGGGCUAGCGUUGUUCGGAAUUACUGGGCGUAAAGCGCACGUAGGCGGAUAUUUAAGUCAGGGGUGAAAUCCCGGGGCUCAACCCCGGAACUGCCUUUGAUACUGGGUAUCUGGAGGUCGAGAGAGGCGAGUGGAAUUCCGAGUGUAGAGGUGAAAUUCGUAGAUAUUCGGAGGAACACCAGUGGCGAAGGCGGCUCGCUGGCUCGAUACUGACGCUGAGGUGCGAAAGCGUGGGGAGCAAACGGG